CCCCGAAGGAUUAUACUCAGUUUUCCUGGAGUUGGCUGGGGUAAAUGAGAAGCUGACUGCCUUGCUCAGGGUCACUGAGGCCAUUAGGAGUCAGAUUCAGGACCUGAACCUAGAUCAUUCUAACUCCAAGAUGAAGAAACUGAGGCACAGAGAGGUUCAGUGACUUCCUU
Molecule: long non-coding RNA, 170 nt
Organism: Phascolarctos cinereus (koala)
Lineage: Eukaryota; Metazoa; Chordata; Mammalia; Diprotodontia; Phascolarctidae
Source: RefSeq, a predicted model, not a curated record